RNAcentral lists this ribosomal RNA (480 nucleotides) under uncultured bacterium. RNAcentral's name for it is "partial 16S ribosomal RNA". It matches the Rfam family "Bacterial small subunit ribosomal RNA", at positions 28 to 523 of the family's 1533-position model. The record is from RNAcentral.
GACGAACGCUGGCGGCGUGCUUAACACAUGCAAGUCGAACGGAAAGGCCCAGCUUGCUGGGUGCUCGAGUGGCGAACGGGUGAGUAACACGUGGGUGAUCUGCCUCUAACUUCGGGAUAAGCUUGGGAAACUGAGUCUAAUACCGGAUAGGACAAUCGCUUAGUGUCGGAUGUGGAAAGUUCUUUCGGUUAGGGAUGAGCCCGCGGCCUAUCAGCUUGUUGGUGGGGUAAUGGCCUACCAAGGCGUCGACGGGUAGCCGGCCUGAGAGGGUGGACGGCCACAUUGGGACUGAGAUACGGCCCAGACUCCUACGGGAGGCAGCAGUGGGGAAUAUUGCACAAUGGGCGCAAGCCUGAUGCAGUGACGCCGCGUGGGGGAUGACGGCCUUCGGGUUGUAAACCUCUUUCGACAGGGACGAAGCUUUGGUGACGGUACCUGUAUAAGAAGCACCGGCUAACUACGUGCCAGCCGCCGCGGUAA